CACGUGAGCAACCUGCCCCUCACUCUGGGAUAAGCGCUGGAAACGGCGUCUAAUACUGGAUACGAGUUGGAGCCGCAUGGUUACCAACUGGAAAGAUUUUUUGGUGGGGGAUGGGCUCGCGGCCUAUCAGCUUGUUGGUGAGGUAAUGGCUCACCAAGGCGUCGACGGGUAGCCGGCCUGAGAGGGUGACCGGCCACACUGGGACUGAGACACGGCCCAGACUCCUACGGGAGGCAGCAGUGGGGAAUAUUGCACAAUGGGCGGAAGCCUGAUGCAGCAACGCCGCGUGAGGGAUGACGGCCUUCGGGUUGUAAACCUCUUUUAUCAGGGAAGAAGCGAAAGUGACGGUACCUGCAGAAAAAGCACCGGCUAACUACGUGCCAGCAGCCGCGGUAAUACGUAGGGUGCAAGCGUUAUCCGGAAUUAUUGGGCGUAAAGAGCUCGUAGGCGGUUUGUCGCGUCUGCUGUGAAAUCCCGAGGCUCAACCUCGGGCCUGCAGUGGGUACGGGCAGACUAGAGUGCGGUAGGGGAGAUUGGAAUUCCUGGUGUAGCGGUGGAAUGCGCAGAUAUCAGGAGGAACACCGAUGGCGAAGGCAGAUCUCUGGGCCGUAACUGACGCUGAGGAGCGAAAGGGUGGGGAGCAAACAGGCUUAGAUACCCUGGUAGUCCACCCCGUAAACGUUGGGAACUAGUUGUGGGGUCCUUUCCACGGAUUCCGUGACGCAGCUAACGCAUUAAGUUCCCCGCCUGGGGAGUACGGCCGCAAGGCUAAAACUCAAAGGAAUUGACGGGGACCCGCACAAGCGGCGGAGCAUGCGGAUUAAUUCGAUGCAACGCGAAGAACCUUACCAAGGCUUGACAUACACCAGAACACCGUAGAAAUAUGGGACUCUUUGGACACUGGUGAACAGGUGGUGCAUGGUUGUCGUCAGCUCGUGUCGUGAGAUGUUGGGUUAAGUCCCGCAACGAGCGCAACCCUCGUUCUAUGUUGCCAGCACGUAAUGGUGGGAACUCAUGGGAUACUGCCGGGGUCAACUCGGAGGAAGGUGGGGAUGACGUCAAAUCAUCAUGCCCCUUAUGUCUUGGGCUUCACGCAUGCUACAAUGGCCGGUACAAAGGGCUGCAAUACCGUGAGGUGGAGCGAAUCCCAAAAAGCCGGUCCCAGUUCGGAUUGAGGUCUGCAACUCGACCUCAUGAAGUCGGAGUCGCUAGUAAUCGCAGAUCAGCAACGCUGCGGUGAAUACGUUCCCGGGUCUUGUACACACC
This 1266-nucleotide ribosomal RNA is filed under the name Microbacterium sp. SMX-3S-CPSF24. Its description in RNAcentral is "bacterial SSU rRNA". It matches the Rfam family "Bacterial small subunit ribosomal RNA", at positions 114 to 1391 of the family's 1533-position model. The record is from RNAcentral. Lineage: Bacteria; Bacillati; Actinomycetota; Actinomycetes; Micrococcales; Microbacteriaceae.